UAGGGAGCGAGCGUUGUCCGGAAUUACUGGGUGUAAAGGGAGCGUAGGCGGGAUUGCAAGUCAGAUGUGAAAUGCAGGGGCUCAACCCCUGAGCUGCAUUUGAAACUGUAGUUCUUGAGUGAAGUAGAGGUAAGCGGAAUUCCUGAUGUAGCGGUGAAAUGCGUAGAUACCAGGAGGAACAUCGGUGGCGAAGGCGGCUUACUGGGCUUUUACUGACGCUGAGGCUCGAAAGCGUGGGGAGCAAA
Molecule: ribosomal RNA, 245 nt
Filed under: uncultured bacterium
Lineage: Bacteria
Description: partial 16S ribosomal RNA
Rfam family: Bacterial small subunit ribosomal RNA
Source: RNAcentral